GACGAACGCUGGCGGCGUGCUUAACACAUGCAAGUCGAACGGAAAGGCCCUGCUUUUGUGGGGUGCUCGAGUGGCGAACGGGUGAGUAACACGUGAGUAACCUGCCCUUGAUUUUGGGUUAACUUCAGGAAACUGGGGCUAAUACCGUAUAGGAGCUCCUGCUGCAUGGUGGGGGUUGGAACGUUUCGGCGGUUGGGGAUGGACUCGCGGCUUAUCAGCUUGUUGGUGGGGUAGUGGCUUACCAAGGCUUUGACGGGUAGCCGGCCUGAGAGGGUGACCGGCCACAUUGGGACUGAGAGACGGCCCAGACUCCUACGGGAGGCAGCAGUGGGGAAUAUUGCACAAUGGGCGGAAGCCUGAUGCAGCAACGCCGCGUGCGGGAUGACGGCCUUCGGGUUGUAAACCGCUUUCGCCUGUGACGAAGCGUGAGUGACGGUAAUGGGUAAAGAAGCACCGGCUAACUACGUG
This 468-nucleotide ribosomal RNA is filed under the name uncultured bacterium. RNAcentral describes it as "partial 16S ribosomal RNA". It matches the Rfam family "Bacterial small subunit ribosomal RNA", at positions 28 to 507 of the family's 1533-position model. The record is from RNAcentral.